CUGAAAGGGGAAUUGUUCUCCUGGGGAAUCUGCUGAAAGCAUGUGCACAAAAUGAGGAUAUUGAGAAAAACAUUUGUGGUAAUGUGCAAGACUUAUUACAAUAGGAAACUCUGUUACAUCAUCAACACUGAAUUUCCAGCUGGGCCUGCCCAUGCAGUCACGUUUGUCACUGUUGACUGAAGCAUGUUUGAUUGGGCAAAUGACAUAGGGUCUUUGAUAACCACUGUUCACUCAACACUACAAUUUCACAACUUAUGAUAAAGAUGUAUUAAAAU
Long non-coding RNA from Phyllostomus hastatus (greater spear-nosed bat), 275 nucleotides. RefSeq lists it as uncharacterized. Lineage: Eukaryota; Metazoa; Chordata; Mammalia; Chiroptera; Phyllostomidae. The transcript has 3 exons. The record is from RefSeq and is a predicted model, not a curated record.